UUCUGGGCUUCCCUAGGAACAAGAGGUCAAGGUACAACCAGUAGCAAUUAAGUCCUUCCACCCCCCCCCCCAAAGACAAUUAGAUUUCAUUCUUCAAAGCAUUGCAGGUUUAUUAAACCCAAGGAGGCAGAGAAUAAUAAUUUUUCUGUGGAGUCAGAAGGAGAAGAAAAAAGAUAAACUGUUAAAAUGUCUGCCACAAUCUGUAAACGAGGCAUUGUUUUAUACUGUCAUGCUUU
Long non-coding RNA from Perognathus longimembris pacificus (Pacific pocket mouse), 236 nucleotides. RefSeq lists it as uncharacterized. The record is from RefSeq and is a predicted model, not a curated record. The transcript is spliced from 4 exons. Lineage: Eukaryota; Metazoa; Chordata; Mammalia; Rodentia; Heteromyidae.